This 253-nucleotide ribosomal RNA is filed under the name uncultured bacterium. RNAcentral's name for it is "partial 16S ribosomal RNA". It matches the Rfam family "Bacterial small subunit ribosomal RNA", at positions 524 to 776 of the family's 1533-position model. The record is from RNAcentral.
UACGUAGGGUGCAAGCGUUGUCCGGAAUUAUUGGGCGUAAAGAGCUCGUAGGCGGUUCGUCGCGUCGGCUGUGAAAACCUGAGGCUCAACCUCAGGCCUGCAGUCGAUACGGGCGAACUUGAGUACUGCAGGGGAGACUGGAAUUCCUGGUGUAGCGGUGAAAUGCGCAGAUAUCAGGAGGAACACCGGUGGCGAAGGCGGGUCUCUGGGCAGUAACUGACGCUGAGGAGCGAAAGCGUGGGGAGCGAACAGG